Molecule: unclassified non-coding RNA, 458 nt
Filed under: Hevea brasiliensis (rubber tree)
Lineage: Eukaryota; Viridiplantae; Streptophyta; Magnoliopsida; Malpighiales; Euphorbiaceae
Source: RNAcentral
UAGACCUGGGGUAGAAAAAAUAGUUUUAAAGUCUAUUUCUAGGUCAAGAGAAAUGGUAAAAGGUUCUUUUGAUAUAAUUACUUUCUGAUACUUAAAUUUAAAAUUUUUUACAAUUUUAAAGGCGACUUCAAUAUCAUUAAUAUCAUUGAGCUAGAGCCGGUGACUAGAAAGAGGUGUUAUUGAAAGAUAGAAAUAGCAAAGUAUACGACCCAUACAUGGGUAGUGAGUAGGAAUAUUAUCUGAGAAUCAAUUAGAAGAGGAAAUUUUGGCAUCCGUCGAAAAAGUUUUCUAAGGCAUUGAUUAGGAAGAAUGCCUUGUGAAUGAAGUGCUGUUGCGUGGCCGAAUAAAAAGAUUGUAUGUAUAAUUUUUUGUGUGGUAAGAAAAUUCCCUGCUCCACAAAGACAUUAGAUUCUUCUUGCUUUCGCUGCCAUCAAAACGACUGUGGAUCCCACUAUAAA